GCAUGUUAUCCCAAAUCCAUUCUCAAUCCUACAAACUCCAUACGAGAAAAACGAAAGCAAUUCGUAAAGGUAAACUUCAUUCAAUUUCCAUGUUUAUCUUUUUUUUUUCCUUCUGCAAAAACUAUUUGAAGUGAUUGAUUCAUAAAAUCCUUUAGUGAAUUGACACACCCAAAAUCCCUAAAUGAUGUUGUGGGGUGGAUGAUUUUUCGUUACAAAAAUUUUUUGAACAUCAUUUUCCGUUAUAAAUUUGUGUAAAACGAUCCGUAAACGUCACCUCUUCGACCCCAGCGUUCGUAACCGCUGCUACUUCGUCUCCGACUAUUCAUAAGCGACGCCCAUUCGUCUCUUGAAAUUUGUAUUUUGCUUCGGCAAUCGUUGCCGUUCUCACCAAUUGGCACAUCUAUCGGUUAAGAUUUCUGUUCGGCAACCAUCGAACAUCGUCAUCUUUUCUGACAUACGUUUUUUCAGUCGUUAAUGACGACCGCGAUGCUGACGUAUAGCGAGAUAAAUAUCCCUACUUUUACAAGGCGUUUCUGCAUUCUGAGAGACAACAAGACCGACAAAGGAAGACCGACGGCGGUUGACGUUUUAGUGCAUAGCCAAUUGUUGGUCAAGGCUAAACCACAGCGGCGAUUACACGGUUGUUGAAAAGGUGAUCAAUAAUGGGGCUGUGUGACGAAAUAGCGCAAUCGAAACUGAGGAGAUGCUGGUGGUGUAGCUUGAAUAGGCGAACAAAUUAGAGGCCGAUUGAGAAGUUAAAAUGCGAGGUCACAAAGGCUUAAGAAGAGGUGAUGAUCGCGAACGUCAUCGCUUUAUUUAGAGUAAAGAGCGAUUCAAGCUUUAAACGUGAAACGACUUUGACGACUGUAGGGUGAGGAAUUCAAUCAUACAGGAAUUGAAGGAAUUUAGUACCGGAUAAAGUCUUUUUGAUCGGGUCCAUCGAUCUUGAAUUCAGGUUUGCUGGGUAAGCAACUCUUAUACAUGUUUCAUCAUUUAUUUUCGGGUUUGCCGGGUAAGCAACUCUUAUACAUGUUUCAUCAUUUAAUUAUUUUUCUUAAUCAAGACAUGGAUUUAAUCUAUUUUUCAUUGGCAAAAAAAAUCAAUAUUUUUUUUAUGGGAAAUCAAGCUUUUUUGUAUAAUAAUAACAUAUUAACAGUAAAAAACAAAACAAAAGACAAAUAAAAAUUUUCGCUACUCAUGUAGUGAUACUAAAGAAAUUCAUAAUCAACUUCCCGCCGCAACGCGCGGGUUAGCGUUA
Molecule: long non-coding RNA, 1258 nt
Organism: Helianthus annuus (common sunflower)
Lineage: Eukaryota; Viridiplantae; Streptophyta; Magnoliopsida; Asterales; Asteraceae
Exons: 3
Source: RefSeq, a predicted model, not a curated record